UAAUUUGGUAAGUGUCCAGAUUUUUCAGUUAACCAUUAUUCAAGUCAGAUUUUGAUCUAUUAUUUUUAAACCAUUUAUCUCUUUCCACAUAUUUGGAUAUUUGGUUAUUUUAGAUAGUUGAUGAUUUCUUAUACCAUUCUCUUCAUGUGGCAUCCCUGAAGACACCGGAGGUCAGUGACUCCUGUGUCCUGGAAGUCAUGAAUCCAGCCUGGGCUUUUCUAUGCAUUUAAACAGAGCUGUCCAAGGUGCUGUACAUCUUUUGGAGUUAAGCUUCAGCACCUAGAGUAGCCCAUGUAAAAGUCUGACUAAAAGCUGGAGUGAAUUUACCGCGCCCCCCCCCAUGAUGACCUGGUGCCAACCUGGCAACCUUAAUGAGACCGAGGCCUCCAAUGAAAGGAAAACAACGGAAAAGCAAAAGUGUGCAGCAGAGUAUGCCAUGUUACGCUAUUUUCUGCAAUCGUUCAGGUUUGUUUGACUGAUUAUUUAUUUAUUUUUAUUUUUUGUUCCAAACUAAGGAAGAGGGAUAAGUAAGGGCAGGUUGGAGGGGGGAGCACUUCACAGUUGUCUAGCAACUCAGAACACACUCCCUAGACACUUCUGGGUUCUGUGGACGUGAUUAGGGAGCAUGACCUAUAGUUGCUAAGCAACAACAAAGCACUAAGCAACUAGGAAGAGACUGCAAGAAUCAAUUCAAAGUAAGACUGUUAUAUUUAGGAACAACUGUGGGAUUCUAUCAUCCCAGAAAGACAUCUGCAUUGGAAACAAACCUUAACAGGUACUGUUUUAGCGAAGAAUCCAAACUCCCAGAUCCAUUGGCUGGUAGGUGUUAGCAGAGAGCAGAGAGAGACCUCUGUCAAGAAGCAACCUUUUAGAAAAAUCCCUACAUAAUGGCCAACCAACUGUAUGCUGUCUCUUGCCUGCACACGAAAGAGGCUUCCUGCAGCUUCCAACUCCUCUAGAUUUUUAUCAGCCACUCACAGCAUCCUCUCCAUGGCAGCUGCUGCCAGAGUGGAUUUAGAGGAAUAUUGUGUUACCUCCAGCAUUUGA
Molecule: long non-coding RNA, 1047 nt
Filed under: Pogona vitticeps (central bearded dragon)
Lineage: Eukaryota; Metazoa; Chordata; Lepidosauria; Squamata; Agamidae
Description: lncRNA (ENSPVIG00000008801.1)
Source: RNAcentral